RNAcentral lists this unclassified non-coding RNA (230 nucleotides) under Glomeromycotina sp. Its description in RNAcentral is "partial internal transcribed spacer 2". Lineage: Eukaryota; Fungi; Glomeromycota. The record is from RNAcentral.
GUGAAUCAUCAAAUUUUUGAACGCAAAUUGCACUCUCCGGGGAGCGGGUGAGUAUUCGUGUGUGAGGCUCAGUAUAAUUAAAAUCCUUUGUGUUUGCUGCCUCUCGUGGUGACGCACUGGAUUUUGUUAAUCUUGCUUGCGUUUAAGUGACCUAAAAUUUUGCAUGAUUUUUUUCGAACGUAUUUAAAUUAUUUUUCGUAAGUUUUCUAUAUCGAAUUCUUGGUGUGGUC